GACGAACGCUGGCGGCGUGCCUAAUACAUGCAAGUAGAACGCACAGUUUAUACCGUAGCUUGCUACACCAUAGACUGUGAGUUGCGAACGGGUGAGUAACGCGUAGGUAACCUGCCUGGUAGCGGGGGAUAACUAUUGGAAACGAUAGCUAAUACCGCAUAAUAUUGAUUAUUGCAUGAUAAUUAAUUGAAAGGUGCAAUUGCACCACUACCAGAUGGACCUGCGUUGUAUUAGCUAGUAGGUGAGGUAACGGCUCACCUAGGUGACGAUACAUAGCCGACCUGAGAGGGUGAUCGGCCACACUGGGACUGAGACACGGCCCAGACUCCUACGGGAGGCAGCAGUAGGGAAUCUUCGGCAAUGGACGAAAGUCUGACCGAGCAACGCCGCGUGAGUGAAGAAGGUUUUCGGAUCGUAAAGCUCUGUUGUAAGAGAAGAACGGGUGUGAGAGUGGAAAGUUCACACUGUGACGGUAUCUUACCAGAAAGGGACGGCUAACUACGUG
This 505-nucleotide ribosomal RNA is filed under the name uncultured bacterium. Its description in RNAcentral is "partial 16S ribosomal RNA". It matches the Rfam family "Bacterial small subunit ribosomal RNA", at positions 28 to 507 of the family's 1533-position model. The record is from RNAcentral.